GGUUCCUUUCCUGUAGGUCUUGGGAGCAUUGCAGCUCAGACAAGCUCCGUGAUUGUCCACUGUAUUAUUUGAUUGAAGUCUGACUAUAAGUCAGUCUCUCUCUCCCUCCCUCUCUCGAUUUCUCCGCCAGGUACUGUGCUAAACUGUUGACACAGAAAACUGCUGAACCCUUACCCCAGCCUUGCAAGAUUUAUCUUCAUUGAUAGAGGCAGAAGCAGAAGCCUAAGUUCGAGCCUAAGUUCAAGUUAGUGUUGCUUCUGCUCUAUGAAGACUCUCUGGUCCGUCCCAAACAGGCAGGACGGAAGAGGGAGAAUGUGUUCUUGGAGAAGGAGAUGACCGGACAAGGAGGGCUGCAGGAGAGAUCUGGGGGCCAAGAGAGGCUGCAGCAUGGAGGGAGCAAAGUUGGUGUCCUUGAAUUUCAAAGGCAUGUAAAUAUCAGCAUCCCAACUGGAGGGGCAUUACCUCGGCUGCCUCUUGGAAGAGUCAAGAGGCAAGACAGAAAGAAUGACGUCAAGAGACCCAACCCAGAUAAAAUAUUUGAAUCCAGGUGAAUUGCUAAAAUUGUGGCAAGAUAAAUGCAGUUGCAGUGAUAAUGACUCCUUUCCAUAGGAUACAUGGUUCCCAUAGGUGGUAAAAUGACUAAAUUAGCCAAUCUAAAUUCUAAGUCACACGCUUUCCUAUGUAGAGAGUUCAUAAUAAGUCAAUGGGGAAAAAUAUAUGGUUUAGUUCUGGAGUGCCUACCCAUGGGGGUAUUUUAAG
Non-coding RNA from Sus scrofa (pig), 759 nucleotides. Lineage: Eukaryota; Metazoa; Chordata; Mammalia; Artiodactyla; Suidae. The record is from RefSeq and is a predicted model, not a curated record.